GCCGGGUGCAGUGGCUUGCACCUGUAAUCCCAGCACUUUGGGAGGCCGAGGUGGGUGGAUCACCUGAGGUCAGGAGUUCGAGACCAGCCUGACCAACAUGGAGAUACUCUGUCUCUA
This 117-nucleotide non-coding RNA is filed under the name Gorilla gorilla gorilla (western lowland gorilla). The record is from Rfam by way of RNAcentral. Lineage: Eukaryota; Metazoa; Chordata; Mammalia; Primates; Hominidae.